CCAACUCUUGUAAGGAUCCAAUCACAUCCAGAUCCUCCUCCAGCCGUGGACAAUCCCUAAUGGUCAGUUCUACCAAAGAGGGGCAUACUACUACUGUUUGGACUAACUCAGUGAGGUCAGGGCAUCCUCCAAUGUCUGGCUCCUUCAGCUUCUCCAGACGUAGUCUCCUCAACGACGUGCAACCCUCUAAAAUCAACUUCCUUAAAGACUUCAACUCUGCAAGCCCUUCAAUCUCCCGCAAACUCGGCACCUUCACUCUGAGUGUAAAUAACUUUUGCAGCUUUGACAAGAAAGAUAUCCUCUCUAUGCUGGAAGAAGAUGUAUCAUCUAACUUUAACUCCAAACUAACCAACUCUUCUAGGGAUCCAAUCACAUCCAGAUCCUCCUCCUUAGUGAUAUUUACCAUCGACAGAUUCAAAUCCUUUACCAAUGGGAACUUUAGAAGAGAUUGUAUCAUCGGACCAACCUCCAGCCGUGGACAAUCCCUAAUGGUCAGUUCUACCAAAGAGGGGCAUACUACUACUGUUUGGACUAACUCAGUGAGGUCAGGGCAUCCUCCAAUGUCUGGCUCCUUCAGCUUCUCCAGACGUAGUCUCCUCAACGACGUGCAACCCUCUAAAAUCAACUUCCUUAAAGACUUCAACUCUGCAAGCCCUUCAAACUCCAGCAAACUCGGCACCUUCACUCUGAGUG
This 693-nucleotide long non-coding RNA is filed under the name Linum usitatissimum (flax). RNAcentral describes it as "long non-coding RNA (LUSI_LNC004463)". The record is from RNAcentral. Lineage: Eukaryota; Viridiplantae; Streptophyta; Magnoliopsida; Malpighiales; Linaceae.